UACGGGGGGGGCAAGCGUUGUUCGGAAUUACUGGGCGUAAAGGGCUCGUAGGCGGCCAACUAAGUCAAACGUGAAAUCCCUCGGCUUAACUGGGGAACUGCGUCUGAUACUGGAUGGCUUGGAUUCGGGAGAGGAAUGCGGAAUUCCAGGUGUAGCGGUGAAAUGCGUAGAUAUCUGGAGGAACACCGGUGGCGAAGGCGGCAUUCUGGACCGACAUUGACGCUGAGGAGCGAAAGCCAGGGGAGCAAACGGG
Molecule: ribosomal RNA, 253 nt
Filed under: uncultured bacterium
Lineage: Bacteria
Description: partial 16S ribosomal RNA
Rfam family: Bacterial small subunit ribosomal RNA
Source: RNAcentral